UCUGCCCUCAGGAGGGGGACAACAGCUGGAAACGGCUGCUAAUACCCCAUAUGCCGCGAGGUGAAAUGAAUUUCGCCUGAGGAUGAGCUCGCGUCUGAUUAGCUAGUUGGUGUAGGUAAUGGCUCACCAAGGCAUCGAUCAGUAGCUGGUCUGAGAGGAUGAUCAGCCACACUGGGACUGAGACACGGCCCAGACUCCUACGGGAGGCAGCAGUGGGGAAUCUUGGACAAUGGGCGAAAGCCUGACGGAGCAACGCCGCGUGAGGGAUGAAGGCCUCUGGGCUGUAAACCUCUUUUAUCAAGGAAGAAGAUCUGACGGUACUUGAUGAAUAAGCCACGGCUAAUUCCGUG
Molecule: ribosomal RNA, 350 nt
Filed under: uncultured bacterium
Lineage: Bacteria
Description: bacterial SSU rRNA
Rfam family: Bacterial small subunit ribosomal RNA
Source: RNAcentral